AUGCUGCCCCGGCCCAGAGCCCUCCUGGCCGUCUGUGCCCUCCAGGGGCUGCUGCUGCUGCACGGUCUCGCUGAGGAAAAGCUUCUUCAGAAGCCAAAACUGAGCAUUUUCAAGGACCAAAUUGUCAUCUCACCAGGAGAUACCCUAAAAAUAAAAUGCUGGGGAGCCCCAUCUGUGAGCUGGCAGCUGAGGGAAGACAACCCCCGGGUGCACGUGAGCGGCUGCCGUGACAUCUCCGGGCUGAGCUGCAGCCAGCUCGUCCUCAGGAGAGCCACUGCCAAUGACACUGGGUACCUCAGCUGUGCCCUCAACAGCACCCCCGAGCACCAGGGAGCUGUGGCCAGGAUCUAUGUCUUUGUCCAAGGUAAGAAUUUUGCUUUUUAAAUGGUGUUGGGCUGUGGGAGCUGCGUGAGCUCUCCAAUCUCUGCGCCCCUCUCCACUGGCCCAGGAGGAAGCAGCAGCUCUGACUCUGAACAGACCAAAUAGAUCUGGGUUGUCAUGGCAGGUGGAUUUUUAUGCCAGCUGAAUUCUCAGGGAUAUGGAUGUGAGAACCUGAGAUUGCCCAUCCAGUGCAGUUCCAGGAUUUCCAAGCUGUCCCAUCAGUUCAGUGUCUCAAGUAACAGAUACACUGACUUCCUUAAAUAUCCCUUCCUUUUAAGACUAAAUUCUCCAGUUCUAAAGGGUUUUGCUGUCACAGUGCUUUUCCAAGGAUGCUCAAGCCCUGUCUCUUUCCCUUCCUCCCAGGCAUGGACAGAAUUCUUUGUAAUUCCUGCCCUCCUACACAUUUGUCCUUACAUCCAUGAGACAUUCCUAGCAGAGCUGGGUGACUGCAUUGGACAUAUUUUAUUGUAAAAAAUGUCCCAUUGCUCAUUUCUGUUCCCUUUGAGCUGUCUGUCCCCCACAUCCCAGAAUCAUUGAGUUCAGAUCCAGGAAUAAAUGGAAGCAGGAACUUCA
RNAcentral lists this long non-coding RNA (954 nucleotides) under Parus major (Great Tit). Its description in RNAcentral is "lncRNA (ENSPMJG00000012222.1)". Lineage: Eukaryota; Metazoa; Chordata; Aves; Passeriformes; Paridae. The record is from RNAcentral.